This 379-nucleotide long non-coding RNA is filed under the name Cyanistes caeruleus (blue tit). RNAcentral's name for it is "lncRNA (ENSCCEG00000011433.1)". Lineage: Eukaryota; Metazoa; Chordata; Aves; Passeriformes; Paridae. The record is from RNAcentral.
CAUUAGCUGAUUUGUUUCUCCUGUGAGAGGUGGAGUGUAGCCUGGGCUCCAGCACUGGUAACUUUUCCUGAGCUUGAAAGUAGCCAGUCAGUUACCACAGGUUGUGCCAGGCCUUGGUGUAUUUGCCCUGGUAAUCUCUGUGGAUUCUCAGCUCCCAGAUCAGUGCUAAAUUCUGGGAAUACCAUGCAGAUGGGAGCCGAGCUAGGUACUUGCAACAGACAUGAGCACCUGUACUUGAGAAUGAAGUCUGUGAGAUAAAUUAGUACUUCAGUUACCCUGGAGGGAUCACUGCCAGGAUCCUUUGUGCUGGCUUUGUUUCUGUGGGAGACCAGGACUCCUGGCAGGGGAAGAAAUAUUAGAGGUGAGCGCUCUCUGAAGU